Molecule: ribosomal RNA, 497 nt
Filed under: uncultured bacterium
Lineage: Bacteria
Description: partial 16S ribosomal RNA
Rfam family: Bacterial small subunit ribosomal RNA
Source: RNAcentral
GAUGAACGCUGGCGGCGUGCCUAAUACAUGCAAGUCGAGCGAACAGACGAGGAGCUUGCUCCUCUGACGUUAGCGGCGGACGGGCGAGUAACACGUGGAUAACCUACCUAUAAGACUGGGAUAACUUCGGGAAACCGGAGCUAAUACCGGAAAAUAUAUUGAACCGCAUGGUUCAAUAGUGAAAGACGGUUUUGCUGUCACUUAUAGAUGGAUCCGCGCCGCAUUAGCUAGUUUGUAAGGUAACGGCUUACCCAGGCAACGAUGCGUAGCCGACCUGAGAGGGUGCUCUGCCACACUGGAACUGACACACGUUCCAUACUCCUACGGGAGGCAGCAGUAGGGAAUCUUCCGCAAUGUGCGAAAGCCUGACGUAGCAACGCCGCGUGAGUGAUGAAGUUCUUCGGAUCGUAAAACUCUGUUAUUCGGGAAGAACAAAUGUGUAAGUAACUAUGCACGUCUUGACGGUACCUAAUCAGAAAGCCACGGCUAACUACGUG